GAUGAACGCUGGCGGCGUGCCUAAUACAUGCAAGUCGAGCGAACGGACGAGAAGCUUGCUUCUCUGAGGUUAGCGGCGGACGGGUGAGUAACACGUGGAUAACCUACCUAUCAGACUGGGAUAACUUCGGGAAACCGGAGCUAAUACCGGAUGAUAUUUUGAACCUCAUGGUUCAAGAGUGAAAGACGGUCUUGCUGUCACUUAUAGAUUGAUCCGCGCUGCAUUAGCUAGUUGGUAAGGUAACGGCUUACCAAGGCAACGAUGCAUAGCCGACCUGAGAGGGAGAUUGGCCAGCCGGUAAGAGAGAAACGGCCGAGACUCUGACGGGAGGCAGCAGUAGGGAAUCUUACGCAAUGGGCGAAAGCCGGACGGAGCAACGCCGCGUGAGGGAUGAAGGUCUUCGGAUCGUAAAACGCUGUUAUUAGGGAAGAACAAAUGUGUAAGUAACUGUGCACAUCUUGACGGUACCUAAUCAGAAAGCUACGGCUAACUACGUG
RNAcentral lists this ribosomal RNA (497 nucleotides) under uncultured bacterium. RNAcentral's name for it is "partial 16S ribosomal RNA". It matches the Rfam family "Bacterial small subunit ribosomal RNA", at positions 28 to 507 of the family's 1533-position model. The record is from RNAcentral.